CCCGAAUCCUGACACAGGGAGGUAGUGACAAGAAAUAACAAUACAGGGCUACAUCUAGUCUUGUAAUUGGAAUGAGUACAAUUUACAUCUCUUCACGAGGAUCAAUUGGAGGGCAAGUCUGGUGCCAGCAGCCGCGGUAAUUCCAGCUCCAAUAGCGUAUAUUAAAGUUGUUGCAGUUAGAACGCUCGUAGUCGGAUUUCGGGGCGGGCCGACCGGUCUGCCGAUGGGUACGCACUGGCCGGCGCGUCCUUCCUUCCGGAGACCGUGCCUACUCUUAACUGAGCGGGGGCGGGAGACGGAUCGUUUACUUUGAAAAAAUCAGAGUGUUUCAAGCAGGCAGCUCGCUCUUGCAUGGAUUAGCAUGGGAUAAUGAAAUAGGACUUUGGUGCUAUUUUGUUGGUUUCAAACACCGAAGUAAUGAUUAAAAGGGACAGUCAGGGG
Molecule: ribosomal RNA, 441 nt
Filed under: Chrysochromulina sp. JD-2012
Lineage: Eukaryota; Haptophyta; Prymnesiales; Chrysochromulinaceae
Description: SSU rRNA
Rfam family: Eukaryotic small subunit ribosomal RNA
Source: RNAcentral